This 497-nucleotide ribosomal RNA is filed under the name uncultured bacterium. Its description in RNAcentral is "partial 16S ribosomal RNA". It matches the Rfam family "Bacterial small subunit ribosomal RNA", at positions 28 to 507 of the family's 1533-position model. The record is from RNAcentral.
GAUGAACGCUGGCGGCGUGCCUAAUACAUGCAAGUCGAGCGGACGGACGAUAAGCUUGCUUCUCUGAUGUUAGCGGCGGACGGGUGAGUAACACGUGGAUAACCUACCUAUAAUUCUGGGAUAACUUCGGAAAACCGGAGCUAAUACCAGAUAAUAUCUUGAACCGCAUGGUGCAAAGGUGAAAGACGGCCUUUCUGUCAGUUAUAGAUGGUUCCGAGCUGCAUUAGCUAGUUGGUAAGGUAACAGCUUACCAAGGCAACGAUGCGUAUCCGACCUGAGAGGGUGAUCGGCCACCCUGGAACUGAGACACGGUCCAGACUCCUACGGGAGGCAGCAGUAGGGAAUCUUAGGCAAUGGGCGAAAGCCUGACGGAGCAACGCCGCGUGAGUGAUGAAGGUCUUCGGAUCGUAAAACCCUGUUAUUAGGGAAGAACAUAUGUGGAAGUAACUGUGGCCAUCGUGACGGUACCUAAUCAGAAAGCAACGGCUAACUACGUG